UUCCAGACUCCUACGGGAGGCAGCAGUGAGGAAUAUUGGUCAAUGGGCGUAAGCCUGAACCAGCCAAGUCGCGUGAGGGAUGAAGGAUCUAUGGUUCGUAAACCUCUUUUAUAAGGGAAUAAAGUGCGGGACGCGUCCCGCUUCGCAUGUACCUUAUGAAUAAGGAUCGGCUAACUCCGUGCCAGCAGCCGCGGUAAUACGGAGGAUCCGAGCGUUAUCCGGAUUUAUUGGGUUUAAAGGGUGCGUAGGCGGCCUUUUAAGUCAGCGGUGAAAGUCUGUGGCUCAACCAUAGAAUUGCCGUUGAAACUGGGGGGCUUGAGUAUGUUUGAGGCAGGCGGAAUGCGUGGUGUAGCGGUGAAAUGCUUAGAUAUCACGAAGAACUCCGAUUGCGAAGGCAGCCUACUAAACUGCCACUGACAUUGAUGCUCGAAAGUGUGGGUAUCAAACAGGAUUAGAUACCCGCGUAGG
Molecule: ribosomal RNA, 468 nt
Filed under: uncultured bacterium
Lineage: Bacteria
Description: bacterial SSU rRNA
Rfam family: Bacterial small subunit ribosomal RNA
Source: RNAcentral